GAUGAACGCUGGCGGCGUGCCUAAUACAUGCAAGUCGAGCGAACGGACGAGAAGCUUGCUUCUCUGAUGUUAGCGGCGGACGGGGGAGUAACACGUGGAUAACCUACCUAUAAGACUGGGAUAACUUCGUGAAACCGGAGCUAAUACCGGAUAAUAUUUUGAACCGCAUGGUUCAAAAGUGAAAGACGGUCUUGCUGUCACUUAUAGAUGGAUCCGCGCUGCAUUAGCUAGUUGGUAAGGUAACGGCUUACCAAGGCAACGAUGCAUAGCCGACCUGAGAGGGUGAUCAGCCACACUGGAACUGAGACACGGUCCAGACUCCUACGGGAGGCAGCAGUAGGGAAUCUUCCGCAAUGGGCGAAAGCCUGACGGAGCAACGCCGCGUGAGUGAUGAAGGUCUUCGGAUCGUAAAACUCUGUUAUUAGGGAAGAACAUAUGUGUAAGUAACUGUGCACAUCUUGACGGUACCUAAUCAGAAAGCCACGGCUAACUACGUG
This 497-nucleotide ribosomal RNA is filed under the name uncultured bacterium. Its description in RNAcentral is "partial 16S ribosomal RNA". It matches the Rfam family "Bacterial small subunit ribosomal RNA", at positions 28 to 507 of the family's 1533-position model. The record is from RNAcentral.